UACGACCACAAUCCCGACCCACCAGUAGGAUUGUAUGAUAGAUGUUUGUCUCUGUGAUAUUCAUCUAGGGUUGCUACUACCUGUGAUAUGUUAUUGUGCUAGUAUGAUAUGAUGCUAUGUGCUAGUGACAGUAAGGGGAGAUAGUCCCCAGUAUAUCGGUCGAUAGGGCCGNGAUUAAAUGAUUGUCUCUGUGAUAUUCAUCUAGGAUUGCUACUACCUGUGAUAUGUUAUUGUGCUAGUAUGAUAUGAUGCUAUGUGCUAGUGACAGUAAGGGGAGAUAGUCCCCAGUAUAUCGGUCGAUAGGGCCGAAGGGGCGGUCAUGCCCAGCCAUGCUAGAUAGAUUAUGAGAUAUAUAUGUUAUGUGGUAGUAGUAGGGGGUGAAAUAGUCC
Molecule: long non-coding RNA, 389 nt
Filed under: Lactuca sativa (garden lettuce)
Lineage: Eukaryota; Viridiplantae; Streptophyta; Magnoliopsida; Asterales; Asteraceae
Description: long non-coding RNA (LSAT_LNC001845)
Source: RNAcentral